UAGAAUUCCAGGAGUAGCGGUGAAAUGCGUAGAUAUCUGGAGGAAUACCAAAGGCGAAGGCAGUCCCCUGGUCCGAUACUGACACUGAGGUACGAAAGCGUGGGGAGCAAACAGGAUUAGAUACCCUGGUAGUCCACGCCCUAAACGAUGUCGAUUAGCCAUUGGAAGGACCCCUUUUCCUUUCAGUGACGUAGCUAACGCGUUAAAUCGACCGCCUGGGAAGUACGACCGCAAGGUUAAAACUCAAAGGAAUUGACGGGGACCUGAACAAGCGGUGAAUGAUGUGGAUUAAUUCGAUGCUACGCGAAGAACCUUACCUACCUUUGACAUGGCCAAAGUUCUACCGAGAGGCGGAAGUACUCGUAAGAGGAUUGGCGCACAGGUGCUGCAUGGUUGUCGUCAGUUCGUGUCGUGAGAUGUUGGGUUCAGUCCCGCAACGAACGCAACCCUUAUCUUUAAUUGCUCCUAUUUUAACAGGCACUUUAAAGAAACUGCCAAUGAUAAGUUGGAGGAAGGUGGGGAUCACGUCAAGUCCGCAUGGCCUUUAUAGGUAGGGCUUCACACGUCAUACAAUGGUUAGAACAAAGAGCUGCAAAUUCGUAAGAAGGAGCCAAUCUCACAAACCUAACCUCAGUUCGAAUUGCGGUCUGCAACUCGAGCGCAUGAAGCCGGAAUCGCUAGUAAUCGUGGAUCAGAAUGC
Molecule: ribosomal RNA, 700 nt
Filed under: uncultured Candidatus Tremblayella sp.
Lineage: Bacteria; Pseudomonadati; Pseudomonadota; Betaproteobacteria
Description: bacterial SSU rRNA
Rfam family: Bacterial small subunit ribosomal RNA
Source: RNAcentral